UUCUGGUAGUUUUCCUUCACAUACUCUAUGACUGCAUUAUUUUUGGCAGUCACUGACAAAAUAGAAGGAAGAUGUGAACUUCAGAGCUCUUAUCUGCAGAAAAACCCAUUCCGACUUAUUUAGUAUACAGUUAAAUAGUCACACUAGAAAAUGGUAUCAUCCAAAACAUAUCCUUUUAUGAAAUGAAUAGAAUGAAGUGAAAGAACAAACAAAUGAAACCAGGUAUAAACUUCUUCAUUAAGCUUGAGAUCCUGAACAGUGACUUUCAUCUUCCUUCCUUCCUAUAGACAGCACUCUCCAAUUAGAAGGCAAGACUUUUUCUCAUGGUUAGAUUUUUUUUAAAAGCUCGCAAGAUCUGAUAUUUGAUAUCUUUAUCUUAACCAUGACAUCCAUUGGUUUCUUAACUUUUCCUCGAGUAAAAAAGAAGAAAAAUAUAAAGAGUAUUUUCACUUCUCUCGUGGGACAAUAAAGUAAAUAUUUUUGCUUAUGCAUGCUCUGCUCACAAAUGGGAAUCCUGAGAGGUGACACCGUGGGAGUGGCGGCAUGAAUGUCAUCAUUUCUAUUUUUUAUGUUGUUCUAACAAAUGUAAGAAAAAUACUUAAAGAUCCUUCUGAGAGUUCUCUCCUUGUGAGCAGGAGAAAGACCUGGUCACUUAAGACAAGAUACUAUAUGAUCACAUUUGUCAUCUCUGAGCCAUAAUCAGAGCUAGGAAAAGUGGCUACUAGAUAGUGCAGCAUCCCACUUCUCCCUUCUACUCUUCCCGUGCUGUGCUUUUCCAACUCAAAGCUCACGUUGCCAAAGUCGACUGUCACUGCUCCAUUCUUUACAUGGCCAUUUAUCUGCAGGAGUUGCUGGGCUCUCGUGCUCAGGAUGGCGGAUAAAUGACCAUGAAUGGUUAGAAAACACUGCCUGCUUAAUGCAGGAGGAAAGAAGCUAUUGCACUGGAGGUGCAAAACCAAGAGUAAACUUAACAUACCAUUUACACAACGGUGCACCGAUUGCUUGUGCUACAGAGAACAUGAACCGAAACAUGGGAUGCAUUUGUUUCCUUCUUGCAAAUUUCUCUCGGAAGAUUGUCAAGCCCAGGUCUCAACGUGGGACCACUGUGAGACUUUGUAUCACCGAAUUUGCUGUUUGGAAUGUGGAAGAGUUCUAGCCAAGUGUGGUGGUGCACACUUAUAAUUCCAGUGUUUGUGUAAUAAAGGCAUGAAGACAGUCAUCAGUUUGAGGCACUGUAGGCCGUAUAAGUUCCAGGCAAGCCAAAGCCACGUAGCAAAAGAUUUUAAAUGAAACUAAAAAUAAAGAAUUCUAAUUCAGA
Peromyscus eremicus (cactus mouse) is the source of this 1318-nucleotide long non-coding RNA. RefSeq lists it as uncharacterized. The transcript has 2 exons. Lineage: Eukaryota; Metazoa; Chordata; Mammalia; Rodentia; Cricetidae. The record is from RefSeq and is a predicted model, not a curated record.